RNAcentral lists this transfer RNA (71 nucleotides) under Trichechus manatus latirostris (Florida manatee). RNAcentral describes it as "tRNA-Gly (CCC) (tRNA-Gly-CCC-6-1)". It matches the Rfam family "tRNA". Rfam says of the family: Transfer RNA (tRNA) molecules are approximately 80 nucleotides in length. Their secondary structure includes four short double-helical elements and three loops (D, anti-codon, and T loops). The record is from Rfam by way of RNAcentral. Lineage: Eukaryota; Metazoa; Chordata; Mammalia; Sirenia; Trichechidae.
ACAUUGGUGGUUCAGUGGUAGAAUUCUUGCCUCCCAUGCAGGAGACCCAGGUUCUAUUCCUGGCCAAUGCA